RNAcentral lists this long non-coding RNA (851 nucleotides) under Marmota monax (woodchuck). Lineage: Eukaryota; Metazoa; Chordata; Mammalia; Rodentia; Sciuridae. The record is from RNAcentral.
CAUCAACAAAAGCCUGGCCUCCCGUUGGCUGGGUGUCUGGCUGGGGGAAAACUAAGGUGACUACAUCUCCAGUGUUCAAGACCCUGUGCUAAAGCUUAUUUCUAGGCAAGCUUUUAUUAAAAUAGAGUUCCUCAUUAGCAUCCUCACCACUGCACAGUGAGGAAUGGAUGAAUAAUCUCACUUUAAAGAUAAGGAAUCUGAGGCUCAGAGAAGAGAAGGAAGUUCACCCUAAGACCCGUAAAGUUAAAAUUAGGGGAUAAGAGAUUGAGAGGCACCAUAAGGAGGAAGACCCUGAAGCUCAGAGAAAGGCUCCAUAGUUCGAACUUACUUUGGAGGCUUUUCUUUUUUUCUUUUUAAUUUUUUUUUAAUAUUUAUUUUUCAGUUCUUGGCGGACACAACAUCUUUGUUUGUAUGUGGUGCUGAGGAUCGAACCCAGGCCGAAUGCAUGCCAGGCGAGCGCGCUACCACUUGAGCCACAUCCCCAGCCUCCUUGGAGGCUUUUCUUUAUUUGAUUUUUUUAAAAGUAGGACACCAGCGACUCUGUAUCAUGAUAUAGGCAUUGCAGAUCCUAUUCAGCUUGGCCCUUUGGGCAACAUUUCCCUGGAACUUUGACACAUGGAGUGUUAACAGAUGUGUAAUUUUCCUCAGGCAAAGGAAGGGUCAUAGUCUUAAAGGAGCCAGAAAACAAAGACAGGCUUUUAAAGUCCAAGGUCUCCAUGCAGGUAAGAGACAGGAAUGAGUGAAAGAUGUCAUAUGUGAUAUGUAAAAUCUUUUUUUUUCCUUAUAGUCCUCCUCAUUCCCUGUCCCACUCAAACCAAUACCUUCUAAGCUGGAGAAGGGAAAGAAAGUUU